RNAcentral lists this ribosomal RNA (972 nucleotides) under Fomitopsis pinicola. Its description in RNAcentral is "partial large subunit ribosomal RNA". It matches the Rfam family "Eukaryotic large subunit ribosomal RNA", at positions 1 to 965 of the family's 3401-position model. Lineage: Eukaryota; Fungi; Basidiomycota; Agaricomycetes; Polyporales; Fomitopsidaceae. The record is from RNAcentral.
CAAAUCAGGUAGGAUUACCCGCUGAACUUAAGCAUAUCAAUAAGCGGAGGAAAAGAAACUAACAAGGAUUCCCCUAGUAACUGCGAGUGAAGCGGGAAAAGCUCAAAUUUAAAAUCUGGCGGUCUUUGGCCGUCCGAGUUGUAGUCUGGAGAAGUGCUUUCCGCGCUGGACCGUGUACAAGUCUCUUGGAACAGAGCAUCAUAGAGGGUGAGAAUCCCGUCUUUGACACGGACUACCAGUGCUUUGUGAUGUGCUCUCAAAGAGUCGAGUUGUUUGGGAAUGCAGCUCAAAAUGGGUGGUAAAUUCCAUCUAAAGCUAAAUAUUGGCGAGAGACCGAUAGCGAACAAGUACCGUGAGGGAAAGAUGAAAAGCACUUUGGAAAGAGAGUUAAACAGUACGUGAAAUUGCUGAAAGGGAAACGCUUGAAGUCAGUCGCGUUGGCCAGGACUCAGCCUUGCUUUUGCUUGGUGCAUUUUCUGGUUGACGGGCCAGCAUCGAUUUUGACCGCUGGAAAAAGGUUAGGGGAAUGUGGCACCUUCGGGUGUGUUAUAGCCCUUAGUCGCAUACAGUGGUUGGGAUCGAGGACCGCAGCACGCCUUUAUGGCCGGGGUUCGCCCACGUUCGUGCUUAGGAUGCUGGCGUAAUGGCUUUAAACGACCCGUCUUGAAACACGGACCAAGGAGUCUAACAUGCCUGCGAGUGUUUGGGUGGAAAACCCGAGCGCGUAAUGAAAGUGAAAGUUGAGAUCCCUGUCGUGGGGAGCAUCGACGCCCGGACCUGAACUUCGGUGAUGGAUCUGCGGUAGAGCAUGUAUGUUGGGACCCGAAAGAUGGUGAACUAUGCCUGAAUAGGGUGAAGCCAGAGGAAACUCUGGUGGAGGCUCGUAGCGAUUCUGACGUGCAAAUCGAUCGUCAAAUUUGGGUAUAGGGGCGAAAGACUAAUCGAACCAUCUAGUAGCUGGUUCCUGCCGAA